AGUGAACGCUGGCGGUAGGCCUAACACAUGCAAGUCGAACGGCAGCACAGUAAGAGCUUGCUCUUACGGGUGGCGAGUGGCGGACGGGUGAGGAAUACAUCGGAAUCUACUUUUUCGUGGGGGAUAACGUAGGGAAACUUACGCUAAUACCGCAUACGACCUACGGGUGAAAGCAGGGGAUCUUCGGACCUUGCGCGAUUGAAUGAGCCGAUGUCGGAUUAGCUAGUUGGCGGGGUAAAGGCCCACCAAGGCGACGAUCCGUAGCUGGUCUGACAGGAUGAUCGGCCACACUGGAACUGAGACACGGUCCAGCCUCCAACGGGAGGCAGCGGUGGGGAAUAUUGGACAAUGGGCGCAAGCCUGAUCCAGCCAUACCGCGUGGGUGAAGAAGGCCUUCGGGUUGUAAAGCCCUUUUGUUGGGAAAGAAAAGCAGCAGGUUAAUACCCCGCUGUUCUGACGGUACCCAAAGAAUAAGCACCGGCUAACUUCGU
Molecule: ribosomal RNA, 491 nt
Filed under: uncultured bacterium
Lineage: Bacteria
Description: partial 16S ribosomal RNA
Rfam family: Bacterial small subunit ribosomal RNA
Source: RNAcentral